AGGGGGUGCUGCGGAGGAUGCAGCCUGGAGAGCGACUCUUUCUUCCCAGCCUCCUCCUCCACCCCUAGCUGCAGAGCUGGUGCAUAAAGGUCGAUUCAUGCAGGAGGGGCUGCAGCUUGGAGCCCAGUAGAGGCGGCAGAAAGGACAAAUUUCGUCUGUGUGUGUGUGUGUGUGUGUGUGUGUGUGUGUGUGUGUGUGUGUGUUUGGAGGAAACUGUUUAUUCAGGGAGCUAUAUAUCAAACACAACCUUCCUGGCAGACAAUAGCGAUUUGCCUGGAUCGUUUAUGCAACCGAAUAAACACCAGGAUGGGCUGUCCCGAGCAAAGGCCCUGGAAGCUCUGGCGAAGAGGAGACCUGCACCAGUGUCCUGACCUUCUAAUCUCUCAGCAGCAUCCAAGUUUCAUGAACCGGUGAAGAGUCUGGCCUGGCCUAGAUCCACGAGAAAAGAGAUGGGUUCCCUGGAGCACUACAAGAAUCUUGAUUAAGUCUGUUUCUCACCUAGGCAAGCUCCUUUCAGCCUUGCUGGGCUGCCCUGCCUUCCAUCCUAUUUCCCCAAACCCAGCCUUCUCCCGAAAUGUGUUCUCAGCAGCUAACACUGAAAACCACCUUACAUCCUGGAGGCCGUGGAUGCCGGCCUGAGACAGGCCGAUUCCAGGCACUUGUGGAGUCGUUUUUGUGACAUGGCUGGUCAUUUCCACGAUGCAAUGACAUCUGAACAGUCUGAUUUUGGUCCUGCUGGGGAGGUUUACUGGUAAACUUUGGAAUAAAAUCUUAGUUUAAAACA
Long non-coding RNA from Cavia porcellus (domestic guinea pig), 784 nucleotides. RefSeq lists it as uncharacterized. The record is from RefSeq and is a predicted model, not a curated record. NCBI's taxonomy places the organism in Eukaryota, Metazoa, Chordata, Mammalia, Rodentia, Caviidae. The transcript is spliced from 3 exons.